AUGAAGCACAUCAAGAAAAGCAGCAGCUCGUCGAGGCUUGCCUGCGACGACGACCGUCCUACGGCGGCGUUGAGGGAGAUGGCCAGGGAGCAGUCCCUGGUGACGCAGCUGCGCGCUGUCGUGCUGCCGGCGAUCCAGCUAGCCGGCGGCCAGCGGGCCGAGGUCGUCGGCCAGAUGUUCGAGAGCAUACUGGACUGCUCGGCCAAGGCCAUAGCCGCGUUGAAGCUUCUUCCGCUCGAUCAUUCUCAAGUUGAUGAUGCUGUGCUGCCGACGGCGAUGGUGGACGACAAGACGAGAGUCAGGAAGAUCGUCACCGGCGACGGAGAGAAGGACGGCGACGACAAUGCCAAGCCCCUUCGCCGUCAGCGCAAGAGAAGGAGAUUAGCCGAUGACUCCGUGGCGCUUGAAACGCCUGUUCCUCACUACGAUGGCCACCAGUGGAGGAAGUAUGGUCAGAAAAUCAUCAACCACACAAAGCACCCUAGGAGUUACUACAAAUGCACCUACAAGCAAGAACAGGACUGCAGAGCAACGAAGACGGUGCAACAGCAGCAACAAGACGACGGCGUCGACGAUGACCCUGCCAUGUACGCCGUCGUCUACUACGGUCAACACACCUGCAAGCCCGGCCAGACCGAUGCCGCCGUCGUCGAGACGGCAAGCACCGGUAGGUGCGGUGAAGGCGGGGGAGAGGAGCUUGCCCGGAGCAGCAGCCAGUGCAGCAAUAUCUCGGUGACUUGCUCUUCGGUUGUCGUUGACCACCACCAGACGACGACGGCGUCCCUCGAGAGCAGUUGCAACCUGCUGGACAUGGCGGGAGACUUGGCUACUGCAGAGGUGAACCAGUAUGAUCAGCUGUUUGAUGUGGCUUCGUUUUCGCCGUUGGGUUUGGGGACGGCUUGGGAGAUGGAUAUGAGCGGGCAUGGGCUCCAAAAGUUUGGAGGCUGCUAA
RNAcentral lists this ribosomal RNA (951 nucleotides) under Triticum aestivum (bread wheat). RNAcentral's name for it is "partial small subunit ribosomal RNA". The record is from RNAcentral. Lineage: Eukaryota; Viridiplantae; Streptophyta; Magnoliopsida; Poales; Poaceae.